Long non-coding RNA from Passer domesticus (house sparrow), 3452 nucleotides. RefSeq lists it as uncharacterized. NCBI's taxonomy places the organism in Eukaryota, Metazoa, Chordata, Aves, Passeriformes, Passeridae. The record is from RefSeq and is a predicted model, not a curated record. The transcript has 3 exons.
AAAUAUUGACAUAAGGAAAUUCUGAUAGCUGUGUCUCUGGUUUGUGGUCCAACCUCCCUGCUGCACUUUGAAACAGGAGGGACAAAUAACUUCUGCUUUUUAUCCUUCCUUCUCAUGAAUGUUGAAUCCUUGGUAUAAAGAUCCUCAUGAUCAUGAUGUGGAAGAGGGGAAAAAAAGAGGGCAUAAUGCUGAGAGAAGAAGAAGAAAACAGUCCUUGGAAGAACUGCUUUCUGAAAGGAAAAGCACCUGAAGCCUCUAAUCAUUGACUUUGAGAACCCAGUGAGAUACCCAACAUUGUGGCUAGCUCCCAGGAAGCUCUACAAUGUGGUGAAAAACACUCAGGAGCAGAAAUCCCACCAAGAAAUUAACCUUGAAUGGUCAACACAGAAGAUCUGGCAAAGGCUUCCAUGGUAUUAACAGUAUGGAGAACUUAAAAACUGUGGUGCAUAUUGGAGAGAGCUGUGGAAUGCUCCAGACUAAUUUAAGUCCAUCUCCAUCCAAACCUCCCAGCUGUGUCGCACAGGAGUCUCAAGCAAGAACUGGACGACUUGAUCAACAAUUGUUACCUCUUGGCACCUUCCAUGCUGUCCCCUCCCAGAGCAACAUGCAAAGUGCAAGGGUUUGUUCUGAACUCUUUCUGUUCUUCAUGUUUUUGCAUAAAUCUGCACAGAUAGAUAUAUCCACAUUCUUCAACAUGCCUAAGGCUGGGAAAGACACUGAUUUACAUGGUUACAUAUUGCUUUAGACUCGUAGCUUUGGGCUGCCUUUUUAAGUCACUGACAGGUGAUAUAAACACAUGAACACCUUUAAACAGCUACAUAAUGCCUCUGGACCUGUGUGCAAUCUGAUUUACACUGGCUGUUAAACUGACAUUACUCACUACUGUUUUUCCUCAUAUUCCUGCUAUUCAAAAAUCCAUGCAGUACAUAAAUAAAAUUCCAAAGAUUAAAUUAAACUUUCGCAUUUCUGUGCACCCUCAUACCUCUUGUUUUUACUUCUUGACCCUAAGAAGACCUUGUAUAGUAUUUCCCAGUGAGCUGAAACAAUCCUUAAAAUGGUUGGAAAGCAGGAAUUUUGUAGGACAAAGUGGAGAAUUGCCCAGACAGUCACUGCAGGGGAGGUAUGAAUUGCUACUACUGUGUGAGCCUUUGCUUCCAGUUAUCUGGUUUGUGUUUAUUUAUGAUGCAUGAAUUAUACAACACAGGCAGGCUCUUUCAAUUACUUAAUAAAAUACAAAUAUGUAAAUACAGGUACCAUCCCAAACACACUGCUUUCAAUUCUUAUCUACUGCAGCACAUUUCCUGGAUUUUACUCCUUCCAGCUCUGCUGGUAGUAAGUGUUGAUUUGAUAAAGAAAACAGGAAAUAAUUCUUCAUUUCAAUAAUUCAUGGAAAAUGAACAGAAACUAUGAUGUCUGUGACACAUGAGAGCACACAUCUCAGACUGGGGUAUUAGUAUUCAGUGCUGGGACUGUAGCCCUGGAACAUAUGCUUAAAACAUUUCUAAGCCCCUUCAGAAUACCAUUUCAAUAGAAAUUCAGUAAUCUGUUGAAAUAAGUCAACACAGAAAAUUAUGAUAUAAUUGGAGCUCUUUAAUUGCCAGUUAUGUCCUUUGAUUGAUCCCCUGAAACAAUGUUAUUAGUAUUUAAUGUAAAAUUUAUGCAGUAAAAAAGGUGAAUUUAUGGGGUGAAAGGACAAUCUUCCAUUUUGUGAAAUAUAACUGGCAGAUGGAAACAUGAAAUAAAGUGCCUCCUGCCAGCUUUUACUGUACCUGCUAAUAAACUUUCCUGCCUUGAGACAUUAGAAAGAGUUUCUUUGGGACAAUUAGCACUUACUGAAGGAUCUGCUCUUCCUCCACCUUCACAACAGUGCAGCUUUUUUUAUAAUUUGUAAUAUAUUAUGCAGCACUUCAGUUAAAUGGGUGGUUGAGUGGAGUAGUGUGGCUCUCGUUGUUAACAUGAGAACAUGCCAAAGCAUGACAGAGGCUGCUGUGGAGUUUAGGUCCCUUAAAGGAUAAUAUUUUACAUGGGAUUUAAGAGUGAAAAAGGUUUACAGCUGCCUGAGUGGAGCCUGUUUACCCCAGCUUAUUUUACUGACUCCUUCCCCAGAAUUUUAAAUCUAUAUUGUUUUGGUUUAACUGCAGUCAGCAACUAAGCCCUUCACACCUGCUUGCUCAGCUCCCUACUCACCCCCCAGUGGGAUUUGGAGAAGAAUCAGAAAGAGGUUAAAACCAUGGAUUGAGACAAGAAUAGCUUAAUAAUUGCAAUAAAGUUGGUAAUAAUAAUCCUAGUAAUAAUAGUAAUAAUAACGAUUACUUAGAAUAAGCACUUAAGCCAUCAGUGUGAUAUCAGCAUAAUUCUCAUACUGAAUCCAAAAGCACAGCACUAUGCCAACUACUAGGAAGAAAACUAAAUCUAUCUCAGUUGAAGACAGGACAUUUGCCCCAUCACCAAGCUGAGACCUCUUCAUCUGGCUCCUAAUCAUGGAGCUUUGAAAGGGCGGACACAAGUUCCUACAAAAAGGUGUGGCUGUGCUACAAAAAGACAUUCUCCAAAGGCAGCAGAUUUCAGAGCCAUUUCAUUUACAGCAAUUUCCUUAUAAUGACAUGUUUUUAACAUCAUGUUUUUAUCUUGGAUUUUACACUACUGCCUUUUCUCUUAGCGCACCAGUCCAUGAAUUUAUCUUAUUGGCAGGUAAUCUAGUUUUGUGAGCAAGUGCAGCUGCAGAUGAACGAAUACAGGUUUUUUUCCUCCAAACAGGAAACCUUUUUCUCCUCCACCUCUCCAUAAUACUCCUCUCCAAGGACAACAGCAGGUUACAUUCAGUCCCAGAUCCCAAAAGCUUUCUUCUGCAGAAAAAUAUUUUACAGUUUGAAAGUCUAUUGUUUCAGAUCUUGGAAGCCACUGCUGUACCCAUGUGAAUGCUACUUUGAGUUCAGUUAUCUGUGAACUUUAGCAAAUCAUCAUGUCCCACAGAACCAGGCUGAUGCCAUUGCAUGAUGGCCAGAGGCUCCUAUGCUGCUCCUCCUCAUCAGCAAAGGUUUGUAAGAAAGGUUCCCAAUAUUAUUUCAAUGGACUUGACAUUAUUUCAAAGGGGUUGUUAGGUUAUUUAAAUGUGGAAGGGUUUCAGUAAUGUAUACAAACUUGCAGAAAACUUAGUGGGAAUUUUUUUUGUGAAUUUUAGCACCAUUCCUUUGGUUUCUUCUGAGUGGCACUGUUAAAAAGUUAAUCAGAGGUUCAGUCUGAGUGUGCACUCUUAGAAAAAACAGACUUCUGUAGGUAUUUUGGCUUCAUAUUACCUGAUACAUUAUAUACAAGUUAUACAUUAUAUAAAGGUUAGUGGAGGUUGUUUGGCUUUCAUUGCUAUAAUAUUGGAAUGGCUGAUGCAAGCUGAAUGUUUUUUAUCAUCUCAUUAAAAAUCAACAUUCCAGAGUGUCCUUAUAUUUUUGUUGGUA